Molecule: long non-coding RNA, 387 nt
Organism: Rhipicephalus sanguineus (brown dog tick)
Lineage: Eukaryota; Metazoa; Arthropoda; Arachnida; Ixodida; Ixodidae
Exons: 3
Source: RefSeq, a predicted model, not a curated record
GGAGGUCGACGAGUAUUUCUGAGUAAAUGAUGCUAAGCUUUCUUUCAUAACUGUGGAUGACAUGCCAGCAGCCCGCCCAUCGCCUGACCCCGGAGUUUGGAGGGAGUACGACAACAAGGCUUUCUACUGCGAUCAAGUGCAAGAGAAUUUGAAACGUUCGGUUGGCACAGUUCUAGAGAAAUUUGUGCUUCACGAUGUACGAGUGCAAUGAGAAAUACCCAGUUGUUCCCCAGGUGUUUUGCCGGCGGGAAGCUGCUGAAGAAACAUUGAAACGAUCAAAAGAAACGAUCACUGAAACAUCAAAAACGAUCAUUGAAACGAUCAAAAGCACCAGAAUACAUUUGUCCGAAAAAACAUCGGAUGUCACGUUUAUCGUUUCCUUCAGCU